Nylanderia fulva is the source of this 347-nucleotide non-coding RNA. NCBI's taxonomy places the organism in Eukaryota, Metazoa, Arthropoda, Insecta, Hymenoptera, Formicidae. The record is from RefSeq and is a predicted model, not a curated record.
AGUCAUUUAUUACAGGUGCUCGAAAUAAUAUCAUUAUUUUUAAAGGAGACAAAUCAAUAAAUAAAGGAGAUAUAAAUGAUCAAAGUAAUACUGUUGUUCAAAAUCAAGGAAAUUUAAUAGUGAAAAAUAACAAUGAAAUUGCUUCAGCGAAUGGAUGUGUGAAAUGUUCCAAAUAUGCAAAAUAUGAUGCGUUGUUAGAAGAAAAUCAACAAUUAAAGAAGAGAAUAAAUGAAUUUAACAAAUCACAAGAACGAUUAAAUCAGCAGGCAAGCAUGUUUUGUGAGCUCAUGAAUACAAAAGAAGCUAUGUUAAAGAAGAAAUUAAAAAUGGUCAGAAAGAAAAAUAGA